Egretta garzetta (little egret) is the source of this 846-nucleotide long non-coding RNA. RefSeq lists it as uncharacterized. The transcript has 2 exons. The record is from RefSeq and is a predicted model, not a curated record. NCBI's taxonomy places the organism in Eukaryota, Metazoa, Chordata, Aves, Pelecaniformes, Ardeidae.
GUGGAUUUGUGUCGUUCUGCUGACAGCAAGAGAGACUCUUAACCCGCAUUCCCCGAUUUAGGGAGGUGCAGCUGUAGCUGGAGGCGUCAGGGACGUCUCCUGGCCCGGCCCAGGUGUGUCUCGGCAGCGGCCGAUUGCAGAGCUGGUGGAGGUGGUCCCGUGGCAGAGCAGCUGAGGCAGUUUAUUGGUACCACCUGAGAAGGACGCGCCCCGACCCUGCCUGAGUUUGCAAAGCCAAAAAUGACCCUGCAGGAGGGUCCCAUCGCUGGCUCCCGCUGCAGUCAUGUGCUGCUUUUCUCUUUCCGUUGCUAUCUUCAGAGUUUUGCUUCUGUCCCCCUUGCAUCAGGGCUGAAAGUCUUUGUGGGUUACAGCAUGAGCCGCCCUGUGGGAGCGUCAGGAAUCCCGCUUGGGGCGAUGAGUCGAGAGCAGCUCCCCGGCACUGGGGUUAUGCAACUUCUUGUUGGUGAGGGGGAGGAUGGGCGUGAAGGCAAAAUUGAUGUUUGUGAAGCAUGUUGGAGAUAAGUAGAGCACCUAGAAAGUUGUCUUAGAGUUACUUGACAGAUACUGAGGUGCUUAUUAACGCUACUGCUGCAUGUUAAGAUCAGUUAGAAGAAAAAAUAAUGAUUUAAUAAACGAAAAAAUGGAGGUGUUUGCCAGCACGUAACACUCAGGUAGCGAUGAAUCAGGCAGCGAGGUGAUCAUAUUGCACUUUGCUAGGCCUUACUUCCUCUGCCUGCAUGAGUUUAACUUCUUUUGAGGUCCAUUAGCCUGAAGUACAGUGAAGGGUCUGCUUUCUUAUGGUUUUGAACUUGGAACUGAAGCACAAUUCAGGUUGGAAGAGACCUC